CCUCACCGUCACUUUUACUAGAGAUGCCGCCGCCACCGCAAAUACUUCCUCUCGUUCCGUGUAUAAAAAAGUCAUCGCCUUCCUCAACGCCGUGAUUUACUGGGAGACGUCUCUAGACAAGCACGUGUUAAAGGCCUCUCUUCUUCCAGGCAUGAAGAAAGAGGAUGUGAAGAUCGAGAUCGAAGACGAUGGUACGGAACUUAAGAUGAUCGUACUGCUGGAGACUGAGGAGGAAGAAGGAGACACGAUUCCCGAGUGGCUGCUGGAGGAGUUUACAGAUGGCAAGAUCAUAAGGAGGUUCAAGUUGCCAGCGGAUGUGAGGCUGGAUGACUUUAAAACUGAGAUGGAGGAGGAUGGAGUUCUCACUGUUACUUUUACUAAACCCAUCAAGCCCAAGAAAACGCAGCAGCAGCGGCAGCUGAUAUCGAAGUUAUUGGGAUUUCUGGCUAAAGCUGCGGCAGCGCCUUUUGCUAAACUGAAUCAAAAGUCAAAAUUGCUGAGAGUUCUAUCCGCGAAAAAGCUGAUCUCCAAGUUGGGAGUUCUGGCUAAGGCAGCGCCUGUUUGUAUCUUGUGUGGCCACGCGAGUUCGAAUUCUGGGAGUUCGAAUAAUUCGAAUUCUCAAAGGUAAAUAUUUUUGGGCUUUUCUUGCUACCUCUAUCUUUAAAAGUUAAAUAAACGAAAUCAAGCUUUUGCCCACAUAGUGUGUCAAUUUGUCUCAUGGUCUUGUUUUUCCGUUUUCUGUGAAAGAACUUGUCUACUGCUACAGAGAACUUUCUAAUGUUGUAUUCGUGUGAUAAAUUUGUAAUCGUAUUUUUCAAUCUAUUGGCAUGUUACAAACUAUUUGGGUCUUGUUUUCCCUUAAGUUGCUAAUGUUAUAUAGAAACCCCUAAAAUCUAUUAUGCAAUUCAGUUUUGAUAGUUUCUGUUUCAAAGCUAGGUGUGCUAUUAGAUUAGGAUACAGAUCAUAGCAGUUUUGGAAUUCUUUAUUAGGUCUUAAAUAAUUGUAAGAUAAAUAAUUAAAACACUUUAUACUUGUUCUGCCUUAAUGUACUUCAAUGUGAGAUGUAGCAUUGAUUUUGCUCAAUGUGCUUUUUAAAAGUAGACUUCCGCUAGCUCACUCAGGCCCUAUCUGGUAGUGUGGUUGAGCAGAUGUAGUUUUUAAGUUGCAAUACUAAAAGUGUUUAGUAAACAAAAAUUACUCGUAUUUUGAAGCUGGGGUGAUUUCAGGGGCAGUACUAUGAAGAGACAAGCAUGGGCCGUAGUCUCCAUAAGAAAAAUUAUAUGUUUUUUAAAGAAUAAUUAUAUAUUUUUUAAUAUGCUAUAUAUUAAGUUAAAUAAUAAGAUAGUUAAAAAAAUCCUUCAAGUUACUUGUAUUUAACAAAAUAAGAACUUAUAUAAAUAUAUCUUUGAAAUGAGCUAAUCUUAAUAGUGAUCCAUGUUUGUCUCUUGUUUCUCUCUUGUUUCUCUCUUAAUUUCUCAAUUCGGUUUUCUCUUGGUAAUCCCUUAAAAUGUCAAUUCCCAAUUCUCACUUUUCUUAACUUCACUCUUUGAGAAUGUUAGUUUAUUAUUUAGCUUCUUUAUUUAUUUUUCAAUUGAUAGAUUUUAAGGUGAUCGAUUGUGAUGAAUGUUGCUUAUAUUUUAUUUCUUAAUUUUUCAGUGUAACUGAUUGGAAUCUAACCUCUAUAAACUGUAUUUCUUCACCUUAUAAAUAAAAAUUCAAACAAUUAUUUUUCUUAAUAUUUUUCUUACUUGAUUGUUGAAAAAUUUUAUUGUUCAUUAUGUUUAUAUAUGCGUUCACAUUGAAUUUUUUUGUAAUCUUUCCUUGGCCCUUGUAGCCAAAGUUGGCUUGCUUGGCCUCUGGUUGAUUUGAUCAUAUAGUUGUAUGAUGAAAACUCUAUAAUAUCUUUAUUAUUUUUGUCAAAAUCAUUAUUUGCAAGUCAUAGUUUACAACACACUAAUAACUUUGCGACAGUUUUUUUUUUUUUUUUUAAUACAACAGUUGAAACCAUUAAGCCACAGGACCUCAAUAUCAAACAAAACCUUAACAUAUUAAAGAAAAUCUUUCAUUGGAAAUUAAACAGUAGCUGUCAGUGAAAAUAAUCUUUUUCGUUGGUGAUAUUUUUUGGUAGCUAAUAUUGUAAAUCACCUUCAUCCUCAAAUUGGAAUUCAAAAUCAACAGUCAGAAAUUACUGUACUUUGAUAUUCUGUUUUGGAAGGGAUGAGCUUAGACAUUAAUCUUGAUUUGAUUUAUGGUAGUGAAAACUCAUUUUAGACAGGAGUUAAAAUUUACUGACAUUAUUGUUAUUUUUUUCACCGGCUCUGUAAACUCAAUGUAUUAUGUAUUGUUAGUGUUUGACUGUGAUUGUUACAUUAAUGACAAUGACAUGCAUUGGUUUUGUUGGAUACUGAGAAUUUUUUCCUUUGAAACUACUGUAAUAUGCGCGUAAUUGUGCUAUUUCCGAAAUGCAUGCGUCUUUAAAGAGUACUGCUGCAUUCAGUAUAUAAAGUUUAUUGAAAGAAACCAAGCCAAGGAAUAGAGAGGUAUAUAUUAUGACUUGAGGCAAUUCAUUAGUCUUCCUUUGAGAGAAAAAUGGCUAAAGAAACUAGUUUUUUUAUCUAAACUGAGUUUCUUUUCUUGUCUUUUCUUUUCGUUUUUAAGCAAUAACCUUGGUAUCAAACAGCCAUCAAGGUAAAUACAUGGAAAUGAUAUUUAUGUUCUGCUAAUUCAUUCAGUUCAAUCUUCAAACUCGACUAUCAAAUGCAGUGCCUUACACAUGAGUUUGAGAGUAAAGUUCAACCUUAGCUUUGAGCUUGAGGAUGCUCCUUUUUCUACCAUCUAUCUUUUAAUAGCACUCUUAAAUCUCAAACUCCCAUCUUUUCAGAGCAUCCUCAAACUCUAAGCCAACAUUUCAUACAUGGCUCGCAUACCUCCAAAAGCUGGUUUAGAAAUCACUGGACUCCCUCAUCCAUACUUUCAAGAAUUAAUCGUGUCUUUACUUGUGAAAUUAAAGAAUUAAAAUGAUUGAUGAUGUUUACUUGUUGAAAUAGAAGGGAGAAUGAGAAUGAAAUGUGGGGUUCAUAUAUUUUGGGAUUAAGGAACGGAAAUUUGAUAUUGAUGUGGUUGGGAAUCAAGUUCCCAUUCAAUAGAUUGACCCUUUUACCCCAUUAAAUUUUAAAAAUCUACAAAUUUCCCUUAAUUAUAUUUUGUAUUGUGGUCGUUGUUUUCAAUACUUUACAUAAUAUAUAGAAAUAUUGAUAAGUUUUAAAACAUUUACAAAUAGGUCCUAUUAGUAUCAUCAUCAUCAUUAUUAGUAUUUCAAUAUUUUAUUACCAUAAUUAUUAAUAUAAGUAUAUUAUUAUUGUUGUUGUUAUAAUUGUUGUAAUUAUUAUUGUUGUCAUUAUUUUCAUUAUUAUUGUUAUUAUGAUAAUAGAAAAUAAUAAUACUAAAUAAUUAACUAAGGAUAUUUUGGUAACUUGUAAAAUUUAUUUCGAUUUUAGUCCAUUUCAAUUAUAGUUCAUUUUGAUUCUCAAUUGGUAAACGUACCAUCUGUUCCAACCACACAGCGACUCCAAUGCCUUCCCCUGCAUUAUUUGUCAGGCUAUUGUGUUCAAUCUUUCAAAAUUAUUGAUUUGUUCCUAGUUCAACUCAAUCGAUAUUAUUUAAGAUAUAAGAAAGAAAAGAUUUAUGGUUUAUGGAAAAAGAAGUAUAUAUGAAUACACCCUAAAUGUUGUUCAGAUUAAUUAUAUUAAAUUGAUUAAGUGGAUAGUUCUUAAUAGUGAUUCAUAUUAUGUCUAAAUGUUUUUUAAAAUUAUAUUCAACAAUAAAUAUUUAAGGCUUGAUACUAAAGGUGUAUUUGUCUAUAUAAAUUUUUUUUUAAAAAAAAGGAAAAAUGGAUUUCUUUCCAUGCAAUAUACAUUGCACAAAACAUUGAAAUUCUAUUUCUGUUAUGAAAUAAUUAUAAUUUAUGUGGAUGUUCAUCAAAGCAUUCUUUUAUCUCCUCACAAACAACUUUUCAUCUCUUAUAACUCUCAUUAUCUCCUUAAUUUAAGGAUUGUUGUUUCUCAUAAUUAUGAUGUAUUACUUACUACUUUAUGGUUGUAUUUAGGGGUGGGCAUGGGUUGGUUUGGGUUGGGUUUUAUGUCAACCCAAACCAAACCAUAAAAAUUUGAACCUAAUUCAAACCAACUUAAAUAUUUUUAACCCAACCCAAACCAACUCAUUUGGGUUUGGUUUGGGUUUGGUUUGAAUUUAUUAAUAAAAAUAUUUUUUAUUUUGAUAAAUUUAAUUAUAUCAAAAUUACAAUAAUUAUUAAAUUAAUAUUAAAAUAUGAAAAAAUAUAGUCAAAAAAUUAUAAAUAAUAGAUUUCACAAUAACUUCAUCCUUAAAUAUUAACCAUAUUACAAUACAAAUUCUAAUAAUGUCAACACAAAUCAAAACAAGAUAAGACAUCCAAAUCAAGUAUCAAAACAAUCCAUCAUAAUCAUUCCAUAUGCAGCACUUUAAUCAAAAGAUCCUAUGAUCAGCUGAGUCUACUCCUUCACCAACAAAUAAAUAACAAAAAAAAGAAAAUUAUAAUGUUCAAUAGUUAUAAAGAUGAGUAAAUUUAAAAAGGAACAUUAUUCAUACCAAAAUCGUAAGAAUAACAUCAAUCUAAAGUCAUUGCCUCCGUUGUUGCACUUGAUCCAAACUCUACAUUAAAUAAAAAUAAAUUAAUAAAAAAAUACUAAUGAUAAACAAAUAUAUAAUUUUUUUUCGCUUGUUAUGAUAAAUAGUAGUUACCUGAUAUCAUGGCUUCAUAAAACUCAAGCUCCUCCAUCGUUGGUUCAUCUUGUAAUGGGACAAAUACGUAACCAAUUUUGUGAGCAUAUCAAAGCUUCCACCAUCUUUGGACUUAAAGAACUACAAAAUGAAUCAAUGAUGCGUCCUCCAGUACUAAAUGCAGAUUCUGAAGCUACUGUAGAUAUUGGAAUUGCAAACACAUCCUUUGCAAUAUGUGAAAGAACUCGAUAUUUUAUUGAGUUCAUUUUCCACCAUGCCAAAAUCUCAAAGUUGUCAUCAUCAACAUGUUCACACGGCUCCAACAAGUACCUCUCUACUUCAUUUUUCAUCUCAACACAAUCAUCUUUUUCUAUUCUUUGUUUGAACUUUACAACACUUGAAAGUUUAGAAAACCUCACCUUUUUAUCAAAUUUCCUACUAUCAACAAUUGACGACUUACUAGCACCACUAGAUGAUCCACAACCACCAAUCUUAGUGUCAAGAUCUUUAUAGUAUUCAUAAAGACGUAUUAAAAGAUUUUUCACCUCUUCAGACUUCUUCCCAACCUCAUUAAUAACAAAAAUGUCUUCAAAGCAAAAUCUCACAUAUUUUAACUUAUAACGUGGAUCAAGAAUAACCGAAAUAAGCAACAAAUUAUUUAACCUAUCAAUUGAACCCCAAUAUUUUUCAUACUUAUUUUUCAUACUUGUUGCCAUUUUAGAUAAAACAAGAUCAUCACCACUUUCAAUUAAUGAUGUCAAAUCGGAAUGAAUUGAGCACAUUUCAUGAAAAUAUAAGUUUGAAGUCAGGUACAUUGAUCCACUAAAUUUCAAAGUUAUAUCAUAAAAUGACUUAAAAAACAACACAAAAACAUUAGCAUUUUCCCAAUCAUCACUAUUUGGGGGUCCUCCAUCUUCUUUGAAAUAUAAAACAUAAUGUCGGUCAUCAUCCUCCAUUCUCUCAAAAGCCUUUUGAAAUUUUAAAGCACUCUCCAACAUUAAGUGGAAUUCCACCUAGUGGACACAUCUUGAACCACAAGACCAACACCUUCAAUUCUUUCAUGCUCCACACAUAUUUUAAAUUUUUUUAGCCUUGCAGGAGAUGACUUUACAUAUUUGACAGCAUUACGAAUUCUAGAAAUUGACACAUGUAAGUCUUUCAACCCUUCAUUCACAAUUAAAUUCAAAAUAUGCGCACAACAUCUGAUAUGUAAAAAGUCAUCAUCUAGCACAAGCCCAUUCUCACUCCAAUUCUUCAAUUUCUUUUUGACAUAAUUGAUAGCUAACUCAUUUGAACUAGCAUUAUCAACAGUAAUGGUAAAUACCCUUUCUAUACCCCACUCAAGUAAACAAGACUCAAUUACCUUUCCAAUUGUCUCCCCCUUAUGGUUAGGUACUGUGCAAAAAUUUAAAAUUAUUUUCUGUAAUUUCCACUCACUAUCAAGGAAAUGGGCUGUUAUCACCAUAUAGUAAUAAUUUUGUAUAGACGUCCAUGCAUCUGUGGUUAUACAAACCCUUUGCUUAUUUGAAACAAAAAAGUUCCUCAAUUUUUGCUUUUCAUCCCAAAAAAGUUUGUAUACAUCUCUAGCAAGGGUUCUCCUAGACAGUAGAUCAAAGUUUGGUUCCAAUUGUUUACUAUAUUGUUGAAAGCCCUCUUUCUCCACAAAACUAAAGGGUAAUUCAUCAAUAAUAAUUAACCUUGUAAGGGCUUUUCUACAUGCUUCUUUAUCAAAGACAUUAGACUUAGAUUCGUCUUUCAUUUCAUGUGAAGUUGUUUGAUUUUCAUCCUCAAAUGUGUUCAAAUAAUCAGGACAACACAAUAAAUGAUUCCUUAAUGUACUAGUCCCAAUUUUAGUCCCAUGUUUAUUCUUACAAGCAUAGUCAUUACCACAAUAAUUACACUUGCAUCUAUUACCUGGAUCGUAUUUAGUGAAAUGUUCCCAUAUUUUCGAUCUCUCUGAUGGCUUUUUCCUCUUGCUCUGAGUAGUUGCCAAAGUGUCCGAAGAAUAAGUACCAUGACAACUUGAGUUCUCAUCCAUCUAAAAUUAAUUGAAAAAAAAAUCAUGUAACUUUAAGCCAAUUCAACAAAAAAAUUUACCAAAUAUAAGGAAUAACAACAGUGGCAGUAAUUAUAACUGGAAAAAAAAUCAUGAGUUAUGGUAGUGUUAUUUAUUCAUAAACAUAAAAGAGGCAUUCCAUACAAAAUUACAAAUCCCGAAUAUGUGAAAAAGCUGGAAAGCCAAGCAUCACUAGGAGACUGCAACCAGCUACCUCUUCUUGUCUUUUUAUAUUCAUUCAAUUAUAAUGACGGGUUCUACUUUUUAUAUGCAGUUAAUUUAUGCACCAGCAGCUGUAAGUGAAUAUUAUGGCGGAUCUUAAAUUUCUGCACUCUGUCUUUAGUACAAUGGUUGUAAGGAUACAAUCACAAGCUAAGUUAACAAAAAUAAUGGCAUAAAAAACAGCACUGAAAGCCCAAAUGGUAAUAUUUUCUAGAAUUUGUUUUUCACAAUUCUUUAAAUUGUACAUGUGGUAGAAAUGAUCUAUGAAAGAAUUAGUUCAUAAGAGCUCAAUCAAAUUCAUAUAUCAGCAAAUUAUUUUCAGCAUAUUCAAGUGUGAGUGGUUUUAUCAAUUCCCCAUUCUCUAAUUCCAGCAUACCCAUUACCAAAUAACUGGAAAAAAAAAUGAAGCUUUUGUAAAAAAACCUCACCUUAUAUCAAUAGAAAGGCUGUAAUCGAAGUGGGGUCUUCAAGAGUUGAUGAAAAUCGACUGAGAGAUUCGUGACAGCACUUUUGUUGACAGAGAUUGUGGAAGAUAGAGUGAGGUCAGUGAGAGUCAACAGUUCUAAUGAACUGGGGAGUGAUGAAUGCAAGAUUAUGAAAGUGAAAAUAAUGGAAUUAAUUUUAUUUAAUUUUAUUUAUUUUCCACUCACAGCUCACCUUGAAUUUAUCUAGCCCAUGGGUAUACCCAAACCAUUAUGAAAUGGUUUUCCCUAUAAAAACCCAAACCAACCCAUUUUAAUGAUUUAUCCAACCCAAACUAUUUUAUUUGGUUUGAGUUUGGGUAAACCCAUGGGUUGUGGGUUUAUGCCCACCCCUAGUUGUAUCACUAUAAAAGGAGAUUUUUACUCCUUAUUUGUAUACACUUGGAAGUGUGAAUAACACACAAGAGAUUGAAUAAAAUUUCUCUCUACACACAUUAUGUUUCUUAUUUACUACCUUUCUUUCUCUUGCUAUAUGGUUGUGCUCUUAAUUAAUAGAUUUUAUAACACGUUAUCAACACAAGUCUCUAGCUACAAGAGAUCAAUUUUCAUCCUCUUUAAAAUAUGGUAAUAUCUAUUCUUUAAUCUUACUCAUAAAAGUAUGAAGUAACAAUCUUGAUUUUGCCUAAGAUGAUAUUUACAUUCGUAUAUGUAUUUUGAUAAUCUAGAAUAAUGCAUCAAUGAAUUCAUACUUUUAUAUCAUCAUUACUUAUAUUGCUAUUGUUUGACAUUUCUUAUUAUAAUAUUCAAUUGCUAUUAUAUAUUUUCCAUUCUUGAAAUUCAAAAAGUUCAUCCUGAAGUUUGAAUACUAUAAUAUACAAUGAAAGAAAAUUAUGAAUGCAUCCUUGGGGGAUUACAUUACAUAUAAUGAAGAUUUUCUUUCCAAAUAGGUUCUUGAAGAACUAUUACAAAAUUAUGAUGACAUUCAUCACCAUCUUGUUUAUGAAGGAUUGACUAUAUAAGUGUAUAUUUUACAUGUCCCUGAAGGACUAUGUUGUGCAAAUUUUAUUGAACUCGCAAGUGCACGAAUCUAUUGUAGAAUAGAUUAAUGGAGACGAGUGUCGAUCCCAUGAGGAGGUGGAUUUUAAUUAUAUAUAGAAUUAAUUUUGUAUGAGGGUGGUUGGAUUUGUGGUGAAAGUGACUUAUAUUAUCUUAAAAUUGGAAUUGAAAUGACGAGAAUAAAUUGAAGUGAAAAUCUAUUAAAUUGACAUCCUUUGGUAUCUGGAUCCGUAUCAACAUGCACCAUGGGCUAAAUAUUCCUUAUUAAUGUCAAUUAAAUCAUGAGGGGGGAAUCCACACCUCAUGAACCACACUCUAAUCAAUAUGGUGCUAAGGGCUUAUCGUGCCAAAUAAUAAUAACCUUGUACUAGAGAGCCGGUGUAACCAAGGCGGUAUCUAGACAAGAUUAUUAUUAUUUGUCGACGAGAAGUCAAAACAUCCACAAAAACUAGAGGGGAAGAGAAAAUAAAUUUACCAAAUAAAGCCCAUGACACAUAUUGAGACUUCACCUUCAACCCAAGCUUGAAAGAAAAUUAGCUACUCAUAAUUGAACUAGGGGCAAAAUGAAAAUUUAUUAAAAUACAUAGAAAAUACAAGAUGGAGAAGGAAUUACAGAAAAUGGAUCCCAAAAAUGGAUUCAGAGAUAUCAAAUUAGGGGGGGAAGGCCCCAUUUUUAUAGAUACAUUGAGUAAAUCAUGGCCAUCGAAUUAAAAAUAGUUUGGACGCUCAGGAUUGUGCCAUGUCAUCAGUCAACAGUACGCGGUUUGACCACGUGGGUGAACAGUAACACGGUUUGACCCGGCUUUGAGCAGUAACGCGGUUUGGUUGAAAAUAAUCAUGUGUAAUACAUGUACCGUACGCGCAAGUUUUGGUCCACUAAUAUACUGCCACGUCACCAUUAACAGUUCAUAAGAAUUUUAGACCAACAGGAUCAUGACACCUCAUCAGUCAAUGCCACAUCAUCGGUCAAUGCCACGUCAUCAAUCCGUUUAUGUGAACAGUGUUGUGAACAGUAACGUAGACAGUACCGUACAUGUGAAUAGUACCGUACAUGUGAACAGUGCCAUUUUUCCUUUUAUGCUCCUCCUAAGGUUUUCGACCGUCCUGAGUUCAAAAGUAAUGUCCGUUUUGCCGUUUGAUCUCUCGUUUAUUGUGAAAUGACUAUGAUGCCCCUAAAAUACACAAAAUACUUAAUUAAAAUAAAACACACAUAAUUAAAUUACAAGAACCUUAAAUACAUAAAAGUAAGGGUUGUUAGUAAGACUUGAAAUGUAAAAUGAUGAUUUUCUCCUUUAUAAAUAUACAUUUUCUAACACUCAACACACCUCCCAACCAGCUUAUUGCUAGUCCCUAACAAAUAAAGCGAAAACAAAAUUCAAACACAAUUUUUUGUUUGUUUUUUUUUUUAAACAAUCUUGUUUAUUUAAUCAGACUAAUGAUAGCAAUCAAAUAAAAAUAUAAGCAUUAUCUCCAGUCUAAAGCAACAUCACACCCACAUCAAUCAUCCACAUGAAUCAGCCUAGUAGAUUGUCAUAGCUACUUUCAAAAAUGACAUGUCAAACCCCAAAAUCUCACUGGAAGUAGUAAUACUCUCACAAAAAAAUUAAACCCAAUAAAAAUAGUCACUCCAAUGAAUGGUACUUGAGAGAGAAAAUAAUAAAGAAGUGAUAUCACAUGCUCUCACCAAGAUGAAAGAAAUAUGCCCUCAGCUUCGAAAUAAUACGAUCUCAAGUCAAAUAAAAAUGUUAGUCAACCCAAUUUAGUUUUAUUAAUUUUUUUUAUACACCACUACAUCGUUUUAGCCCAUAUAACUAGCUUCUACUUCAGACUAUAGUUCCCUAAAAUCAAAAAGAACUUUUAUUAGAACGUAACGUAGGCUAGGGAUAUGGCUAACAAAGAAGGGAAAUAAGGAAAACAAAGUGUACGUUUGAGAAAAAUGCAGAGAAAUUUUUUUUUUCUUUAGGGAAGUUGCAAGGUGGAUUUCACCUAUUAUUGUUAUUUUUAUCUUUGAAACAACAAAUUUUUUUCUUUCUUUUUUUUAAACAACAAUAUCUCUUUUUUUUUUUUAGGGCAUAACUUCACUGUACAAAAUAUUUAUUUACAUUUUUCUCAAACAUAAUAGGUGAUGGAACUUGUAAGAUAUUGGGUAAUACUCCAAAUUGGAGUGGGUCAAGAUGAUAAGUUUGACAAAGAAAAGUUUUUUUUUUUUUUUAAGGCUCAAAAGGGUUAAUUAUGGAUAUUUGAUAAAAGAGAUGGCUAGAAAGGCUCAAACGGAUCAAAGAUGGCCUUUCCAUCGUCUUUUAGGGCUCUAAAUAAUCUUCCAUAUCUACUAGUUAGAUGGGCCUCCAAAUGUAGCAACACACUUUUUUUCUUUUUUUUAUUUUACAAUUUUUUUUAAGGGUUAACUCAAAAGAAAUCUAGAGAUCGUAUAUAAAAUAAUAAACUGCUAAGUUGUAUAAAGAAUGGACAAAAGGGUUACUCUCUAAGAAAAAUGAUAGGCUCAAAAACUCACUUGGUACUUAUUAUGACAUGUUCAUUCCUUCAAGCAACUCAUAUUUGUCUCUGACAUCAACAUGUAAAGUAGCAAACAUGGCGUAACAUCACUUAAGACUAAAGAUAAUACAAAUACUAAAAUUUGAAAUUAAUCAUGUCAUCCAAUGUUAAAAUAAAUUACACAAAUUUUUUUUUUAAACAACAUUAUACCCCCCAACCUAUCCUAAACAUGAAAGGAAAAUAUGCAUGCAGAAAUGUGAAAAUGAUGCAUAAAAACUAAUUAGAAAAAUUACACUUAAAAUGAUAGAAAAAGAAAAUGGUUUUUUUUUUUUUACUAAGAAGAUGCGUUUCUAGAGGCAUUACACUCCAUAUUCAGCCAUCUUCGACUCAACAAAAAAAUUGAAAAUGUAUAUUUAUAAAGGAGAAAUUAAAAAGAAGAAGAAAAAUGAAUAUCAAAACAUAAUAAAGAAAAAGAAAAUGUCUGAAUUUUUUUUUUUUCAAAUGAUGAAGAUGCGUUUCUAGAGUCACUACACUCCAUAUUCAGCCAUCUUCAACACAAAAAGUUAGCAACAGUUAGUUUUUACAACAAAAAAUCAGUAAAAACUUAACCAAGAUUCCACAAUUGUCGACUAUUCCCUCCCCCAAACCAGAACGAAAUAUUGUCCUCAAUGUUGUAAAAGAAUGAGUAGAGUUUAUAAGACAUCACAUGGGUGGUGCAACACAGAAGAAAAUAUUUACAGGCAGCUACUGUUACCGUCAUUAUUUGGACGCUCCAACACAAAGGUUCAGGGGUCUGGCUCCGGUUUAUAAGCUUGUAACAUAUCAAGUAGAUCAUUAGCAGUGUGAGCACAAAUAAAAAGUUUUUUUGCACUGGAAGGAAUGAAGUAGUUUUUUAUUGCAUGGUUAAGAAAUGCGAUGAAGCCAUCAUAAAAGUUAUUCACAUUUAACAAACCGAUGGGUUUCUAGUGAAUGUACAGAUGGGCCCAAGAUGCUAGUGUGAUAAGUGUCUCUAGUGUUGCAAGAUCUCCUGGAAGGAAAAUAAAAGCAUCAACAUGAUUAAGCAUUUCAGUUAUUCUUUCUUGCAUACCUGAGACAACUAACUCUUCUCCAGUCGAUGAGUCAGACAAACUACCCAAAGGUUUUAGAGCUCUUGGGAUGAUGCCUAACACAUGGUUUCCUCUGACAAAAGCAGCUUCUGAGACCAAUUUUGAUAACCCUCGGUUACCUCCUCCAUACACCAAGUGUAAUUUUCUCUCUGCUAUGCUUCGACCAAGAUCUAUGGCUGCAUCAACGAACUCUUUAUGUUUGCCAUAGGUAAAUCCAGAAAGCACACAAAUGUUCUUGAAUUGUCUAUUGAGAGUAGCUGCCAUUGGAAUAUUUCUCAAAAAUAAUUUGUGAAUGCUUAACAAAAAGUCAUAUUUAAGAAUUUUGGUGACAGUGGGUCACAACUGUGUAUGAGGUGGCAUGUCAGUGUCAAAUAACGCGCAAAGCACAUGGCUCGCGAGUCAAAAAAGAAACAGUAAAAAGAAAAAGUAAUAAUGAUAAAAUAAAAUUAUUAAAGACAAUAAUGCAAAAGAUAAAAUAACAGUGAAAUAAAAUAAUAGUGAAGUAAAAGGAUAUUUACAGGUAGCUGAGACUGUGGCUCAUAUCUUCCUCUGGUUUUGCGUCCAGAAACGACUUGAACGCCCUCUAUGGGUCGAGGAUGGGCUUCCCAUCCAGUUUUCUUAUAAACUGGCAAACAAGGUCGUUUAUAGUCAGAUUCCCGAAACUAUAUCGUGCAUGCUCUUUCUGGAAUAAUGGCCAUAACUGGAAAAUCGCUCCUUGCACAUAUCCACUGGGAUGCGUUUCAAGAGAUAGAAGGAUAUCAUCCAAUGACUCCUUAUUCAAGCCAUCCCUAAUGUAUUGAAUCUUAUCUUCCCUGCCAAUCAUACUUUAGCCUUGAUUAACCAACAGAUGUCAGCAGGUAUGUUAUUCCUCAUGAACAAUUGCAUGCGUUCGGACCGGGCUUUAUAGAUCGUAAGGAGGGCAUUCUGAGGAAGUGAAGGGAAUCGCUUGUGAAGGUUCGCUAGAAUCUCAUUUCUGUCCAUAUCUUCACCUCAGAAUAUCAGUUAUUAUGGGAAACUAAAGUAACCGACUUGAUUGUCACGGAGUACCGUUAUCCGCCACUUCACCGAGGUAACAAACUAAAGCACACAAACAGAAAAACAAAUUAAAACACACAAAGAAAAUUAAAAUCAUCCUCUUAUUGAAUUUACCUCAAGCUCCAACUAGAUGUCGUAAACACUUCUCUCAAUGUCUCUGAAUUGGCUUUCUAAACCCUCAACAUAGGAUACUAACUCUGGUGGUUGCAGAGCCCAAAUACGACGUGUCUUACAAAAUCGAAGCUGUCUUUUGAGAUGAGAUUUUACACGUUGAAGUGGUUUAAGAAUGUUCAGGAGGAACGGUUUAAGUAUGGUACUCAUUAUUAACAAUGAUAAGAAAAAAAAACUUAAUGGUUAAACAAACACACUUAUGCAAAAAUAAUUUCAAUUAGCAAAAGAAUAAUAAAAAGAAAAAAAAAAUCAAAUCACCGAAAAGAAAAGAAAAAAAUCAAUUCAAAUCUUAUGGGUCACUCAAAUUUAUUUCGAUGUCCUCUCCAUGUGGUUGGUACUCUAGAUAUGGCUUUAAUCUUUGACCAUUAACUUUAAACGUGACACCGUUCUUUGGGUCCUUAAUUUCAAUUGUCCCAUAUGGAAAAACAGUAUGAACAAUAAAUGGGUUAGACCAUCGAGAGCGUAACUUACCUGGGAAUAGGUGAAAGCGAGAAUUGAAUAAAAGCACUUUCUGACCUGGAGUGAACGAUUUUCUCAUAAUUUGCUUGUCAUGGAAGACUUUCAUUCGUUGCUUGUAAAUCUUGGCAUUUUCGUAUGUAUCAUUGCGAAUUUCUUCAAGUUCUCCCAGCUUUAAUCUUCUUUCUGAGCUGGCUUGCUGCAUAUCAAAGUUGAAUUUCUUGAUAGCCUAAUAUGCACGAUGCUCGAGUUCCACAGGUAGGUGGCAAGCUUUUCCAUACACUAGCAUGUAGGGUGACAUCCCAAUCGGGGUCUUGAAAGCUAUUCUAUAUGCCCAUAAUGCAUCAUCAAGUCUUAAUGACCAAUCUUUUCUGUCCGGCCUCACCGUCUUUUCUAAUAUGUGCUUUAUUUCUCGAUUGGAGAUCUCAACUUGGCCACUGGUUUGCGGAUGAUAUGGGGUUACCACUUUGUGAGUGAUUGAAUACUUCGUCAAAAGAGCCUUGAAUGCUUUAUUACAAAAGUGGGCACCACCAUCACUGAUUAUUGCUCGAGGGAAUCCAAAGCGUGAAACAAUGUUGCUUUUCAAAAAUUCUAUCACCACCUUGUGAUCAUUGGUUCUACAUGGAAUUGCUUCUACCCAUUUCGAUACGUAGUCAACAGCAACCAAUAUGUAUUGAUGGCCAAAAGAAGGGGGAAAUGGUCCCAUGAAGUCGAUACCUCAUACGUCAAAAAUCUCAACCACUAAAAUUGGAUUUAGUGGCAUCAUGUUCCUUCGUGUAAUGCUCCCUAUUCGUUGACACCUAUCACAUGAAGAACAGAAAGUGUAAGCGUCUCGAAAUAUAGUUGGCCAAUAGAAACCGCAUUGUAAAACUUUAGUAGUUAUUUUCUUAGCACUGAAAUGGCCUCCACAAGCUUGUUCAUGGCAGAAUGAAAGGAUAUUCUGAAUUUCAUUUUCUAGGACACAUCGUCUAACAAUUUGAUCUGCACAAUACUUAAACAGAUAAGGGUCAUCCCAAAAGAAAUUCUUUAUUUCUGCAAAGAAUUUAGCCUUGUCUUGCUUGGUCCAACGCUCUGGAAGUUGACCUGUAACAAGAUAAUUCAUGAUAUCAGCAUACCAUGGUAAUACUUUCACACUCAUCAAUUGUUCAUCUGGAAAUUACUCAUUCAAUGUUAAUGGCUCUGUAAUUGUGUUAAAAUGGAGACGAGAGAGAUGGUCUGCCACAACAUUUUCUGUACCUUUCUUAUCUCUGAAUUCCAAGUCAAAUUUCUGCAAAAGUAACACCCAACGAAUUAGUCUAGCUUUUGCAUCUUUAUUUGUGAGAAGAUAUUUAAGAGCAGCAUGAUCUGUGAACACAAUUAUUUUACAACCAAUGAGAUAAAAUUAAAAUUUUUCCAAUGCAAACACUACUGCUAGCAUUUCUUUUUCAGUAGUUGAAUAGUUCAACUGUGCAUCAUUCAAUGUCAUACUAGCAUAAUAAAUAACAUGGGGAAUUCGAUCAACUCUUUGUCCUAAUACUGCUCCUACUGCAUAAUCAGAUGCAUCACACAUGAGUUCAAAUGGUAAGCUCCAGUUUGGGGCCUGAAUGAUGGGUGAUGAUGUCAACAACUGCUUUAAUUUUUCAAACGCCUCAAGACAUGAAUCAUUAAAGAUAAAAGGUACAUCCUUAGCAAGUAAAUUGCAUAAGGGUCUAGAAACUUUGCUAAAAUUUUUAAUGAAACGUCUAUAGAAACCAGCAUGCCCAAGGAAAGAUCUUACUUCUCUGACUGUUUUAGGUGGAGGAAGAUUAGAAAUGAGAUCCACCUUGGCUUUGUCAACCUCAAUACCUUUGCUCAAAAUGAUGUGACCGAGAACAAUACCUUGUUUUACCAUAAAAUGGCACUUCUCCCAAUUUAAGACCAAGUUCUUUUCGAUACAUCUCUACAGAACUAGUGUUAGAUGAUGUAAACAUUGAUCAAACGAGUCACCAAAGACAAAAAAAUCAUCCAUAAAGACUUCAAGGAAUCGUUCAACCAUAUCAGAAAAAAUACUUAACAUGCAUCGUUGAAAUGUAGCAGGUACAUUACAUAAUCCAAAUGGCAUCCUCCUAUAUGCAAAAGUGCCAAAAGGGCAAGUGAAAGUGGUUUUCUCUUGAUCUUUCGGUGUUAUAGGAAUCUGAUUAUAUCCUGAGUAGCCAUCUAGAAAGCAAUAAAAUUCAUGGCCUGCUAAUCUAUCAAGCAUUUGAUCGAUAAAUGGUAAAGGAAAAUGGUCUUUAAGUGUGACAGAAUUCAACUUUCUAUAAUCAAUGCAUACACGCCAUCCUGUAGUUACUCUAGUUGGUAUCAAUUCAUUAUCGGCAUUGGUAACUACUGUGACUCCUAACUUUUUAGGGACAACUUAUACAGGACUGAUCCAUGAACUAUCAGAAAUUGGGUAAAUGAUACUUGCGUAUAAUAGCUUAAGGACUUCAGCUCUAACAACUUCUUUCAUGUUAGGAUUUAACCGACGUUGCAUUUCCCUAGUAGAUUUAGCAUUUUCAUCGAGGUGAAUGUAAUGCAUGCAGUCUACUGGGUUUAUACCUUUGAUGUCUGCUAUGGUCUAUCCUAAUGCUUCUUUGUGCUCUUUUAAAACAUCCAACAACUUAUCUUUUUAUUCGUCAUUUAGGGAUGAUGAGAUGAUUACCGGUAGAGUACUUUCUUCUCCUAAAAAUGCAUAUUCCAAAGUGUUGGGUAAUGGUUUGAGCUCGAGUUUUGGUGGUGAUUCUGAUGAUGGGAUGAGUUUCUUUUCUGAUGGUGCUAGUUGUUCAACUCUUGACUUCCAUUUAUUAGUGUCCAUGGAUGGUGCUCAGUCAAGUAGGGCGUUGACCUCAUCGACCGAUCUGUCAAUAUCAAAAUUCAAACCAAAGUGAGUUAAACAUGUUUGUAAAGGAUCAUCACUAAGGUUUGAAAGAAAAGUAUUAUCAACUAUUGUUUCUAUUAAAUCCACAUCAACAAUUCCAUCAUCUGCAUUGUGAGGUUGUUUGGCAAUGCUGAAGAUGUUCAGCUCCAUAGUCAUGUUGCCGAAGGACAACUGCAUAUUUCUAGUCCUGCAUUGAAUGUGAGCAUCUGCAAUUGCCAAGAAAGGUCAGCCUAGAAUAAUAGGGAUGUGCUUCCUUGAAUCCUGUAUUGGUUGAGUGUCAAUUACAAUGAAAUCAACAGGAAAAUAAAACUUGUCUACCUGAAUAAGCACGUCCUCCACAAUACCACGAGGUAUUUUCAUGGACCGAUCUGCAAGCUGUAACACCACUGGAGUUGGAUGUAAUUCUCUAAGUCUAAGUUUCAAAAAUACUGAGUAAGGCAAUAGAUUUACACUAGCUCCUAAAUCCAACAAAGCAUUCUCAAUUGUGUGAUUCCCUAUGCUACAUGAGAUAGUGGGGGAACCUGGAUCUUUGCAUUUUAGAGGAAUUUUAUGUUGGAGGAUAUAACUAACAUUUUCUGUUAAAAAUGUCUUCUUUUGAACAUGAAUGUUUCUCCUUUUAGUACAAAGAUCUUUAAGAAACUUGCCAUAAGAUGGAACUUGCUUUAUAACAUCAAGUAAAGGGAUGUUAACACUUACUUGUUUGAAGAUUUCAAGAAUCUUACAUGUGGAUUUUUCCUUCUUUCCUUUAUCUAACCUCUAAGGAAAUGGAGCUUUGGGAACAUAUUCUCGCGGGUUGGUUUCUUCUUUCUCCUCCAAUGGUGAGUCCUCAACAUUCACAGGUACAAUUUGAUUUUCUUUUGUCACCGGCAUCUCCACUUUGUUGUCGACUUCUUUUUCUUUUCACAAGGUCAUGAUUGCUUUGACCUCUCCAUGCU
This 17585-nucleotide long non-coding RNA is filed under the name Citrus maxima (pomelo). Its description in RNAcentral is "long non-coding RNA (CMAX_LNC003834)". The record is from RNAcentral. Lineage: Eukaryota; Viridiplantae; Streptophyta; Magnoliopsida; Sapindales; Rutaceae.